AUCAAUGCAAGAAAUCAUCCUACAUGAAAAAGGAAGCUCAAAAUUUUGUUUAUGUAAAAACUUUUUUAAAUUACUUGAGUUUUGUUAACAUUUAUCCUUUUACAUAGGGUUGCUAAAGUUAGCGAAUAAAUUAUAGGAUACCCAGUUAAAAUUUAAUUUCAGGUAAACAACAAAUAGAUUUUUAGUAUAAGUAGGUCCCAUGAAAUGUUUAUGACAUAUAUAUACUAAAAACUCAUUCAUUAUUUAAUCUAAAAUUUAUAUUUAGCUUGGCAUCCUAUAUUUUGUCUGGCAACCCUCCUUUUAAGAAAAUCUAAUAAUCCAUAUUUACCUGAUAGGUAAAUUAGAAUACUGAUUCUUUUUUGAAUGAAAAUAAUGUAUUUUUUUAAAUUUUUCUAACUUUAGUUCCUCUAAUAGAAAUUAAUUUAGAUAACUAAGGAACCAUAGGAAUUUAAAAGCUGACCUAUCAGAAAUAACUUCAGCUAUAUUACAUUAAAAAUGAAGAGAUGGAAUCUGAAAUAGGAAAGUAAGAUUUAUACCCAUUAUUCAGCCAAAAUCUGUUUUUCUUUAACUUCUACCCAUUGUUCCUAAGUCUGCCCUCUGGGGGCUGUAGAAAAUAAUGAAGAUGAUGUUAUUAAUGAUAACCAGUGCUUGCUGUAACCAGUUAUGUGCAUUAUUUUAUUGGAUUUAAUUUGUUUACUCUUUAUAACAGCAUGUGAGGGAGGUGCUUUUCUGAUUUCCAUUCUACAAAAUAAGAAACUAAAGCACAGAGUAGUUGAUUAGCUUAACCAUAACCACAUCUCUUUGUCAACUCUUAAAGUACCAGAGCUUUCAUAGUUUUAAAGUUCCCAAUUCCUUCUACCAUUUCUUUUAGUACAGGGUCUCUAGACCCUUUCCUGUCCUCAUUCAACUCUCAGCUUGUUGUGGCUUGUCAGUGCCCUGAAAUAUGUUAUGGCCAAAAUUUAAAAGUAUACUUCAUAGAUCAUAUAAUUUACAAGUAGAGUACAGCAGGAUUUUUAAUGGCCUUGGUACUAAAGUUAUAUUGCCAAUAGUGACCCAUGGAUUAGCUGAGUUUUGUUUCGUUCUAGUUUUUGAAUGGGGAAUGUACUUUUACAUAAUACAGUUGGCUCAGGUUGACCUUUUAGUCAGGUGAAACUUCCAGGUUCUUAUCUGUACUAAAUGCAGACGUUCCUAUGCCUCUGCUUUCUUCCCAGUUGGCUUGAGUAGAUGUCCAAGGGAUUGACAUCAGCAUGUCUAUAUUGUUUGACCAUUUCAGCUUUGGGGAAGAAGAAGGAGCCCAGCUAUGUUGUGUUUUUUGCUAGUAUGAUGUUGGGCUAACUUUUAUAGCAUUUUUCCUUUUUGGAUAACUUAAUUUACCACGUAAUUGUCCAUGCUGGGGUGGAGCAAAGAUUUAUCCAAAAGGUUACUUUUAUUAGAAAAGUGUACUGCUUUAGGGUUUUGAAUUUCUGACUACUGGCUGACAGUAACCUUAUUUGCUGAGUAUCAGUUGUCGUUCAGUUACUCUUUCCCUGUCUCAUUGGCUUUUCUCUCCCUGUUUCCCAUUUUGACUUUAUACUGAAUAAAAUCAAACGUCUAAGUACUCUACUUACUAUAUACACCUUGCCAUUUAUAUGUAACAAGUCUCUUGCAGGAAAGUGUUCAAAUGAUGCGAUCUUUGUUUUAUGCUAUUGGAAAAUAUACUUGUCAACCUUAAGAAAUAGUAUAUUCAGUCAACGCUUCAUUAAAUGUAGUAUUCUUUCCUGAAAAAUAAAACCCAGUGCUCUGUUUAGUUCUUACCUACAUUAUAGUCUGCAAAUAAGACAUAUGACAAAUUGGUUCCCUCCAGUUAUCACCCAAUGAGAAUGUAAAAUACUUCAUCUUCUCUCUAGUAUAUUUUUUACUCCUUUAAAACUUAGCUGAAGUCGUACCUUCUUAGAGUUCACCACCCUGGCUGAAUCAUACCUAUCCUCCUCUCUCUUCCCUAUCUCAGAUUGCUUUUAAUUGCCCUGGCCAGCCAUCCAGAAAGAAGCACUGUCUUAAUGGCCUUUCUGACCAGGACCUCGAUGUCAGGAUGUUGAUGGGUUGGUUUGUCUGGUAUCAUGGCAGUAGCCAGUUCAAAUCUAGGAGUAGG
Molecule: long non-coding RNA, 2128 nt
Filed under: Homo sapiens (human)
Lineage: Eukaryota; Metazoa; Chordata; Mammalia; Primates; Hominidae
Description: HSALNT0342679
Source: RNAcentral